Macrobrachium nipponense is the source of this 1121-nucleotide long non-coding RNA. RefSeq lists it as uncharacterized. The record is from RefSeq and is a predicted model, not a curated record. Lineage: Eukaryota; Metazoa; Arthropoda; Malacostraca; Decapoda; Palaemonidae. The transcript is spliced from 2 exons.
AAUAAAAAAGACCGAUACAAGCCCGUUCAACAUAAAGAACUUAAAGUUGGAGAUAUAGUACUUUUGAAGGAACCCUUAGCUAAACCCUGUAAUUAUCCAAUGGGACGCAUUAAGGAAAUUAUAACAAAUAUAAACAAUGAAGUUACGGCUGUGAAAGUCUUUAAAGGGAAAACUGGAGAAAUAUUAAAACGGCACUCUAGUUCUAUAAUUCCUCUUUUGUCAGUCCCAGGCGAUGAUGAAAAACAAGGUGUACCAGACACUAAGAAUGUUCAUAUUGUAUCAUCACGUCCUAAAAGAAAAGCAGCUAUACAGGGUGCUGCCAAAAUUCACCAAAUUUUGGCUGAAUCUGAUUAGGGAUUUUUCAUUACUGUUAAUAUUGUUUUAUUUGGAUUCUUUUGGUUGGUUUUUAUUUUUGGGUAAUUUUCAUGUAAAUACAUUUACAUUAUAUACUUUUGAUUUCAUACUAAAUCAAAAUCUCUCCCCUGGAGUGUAGAAAAAUAUGUAUUUAAUUCCUUUAAUUUUACUAGUUCUAAAAAAAAAUAUGCAUUAUCACUACGGCAUCAGUAUUAAAGUACUUUACCUAUGUAAUUACUUAACUAGUCAAUUUUAAAAUUAACGUAAUUUUCAUAAAUAGCUUUUCUCGUCUAAUCCUUUUAAAUGGUUAUUGCCGUAAACAAACCACCAAUUUUAAUGCGGAAAAUGUUUUCUUUGUUUACUGAGUGACGAAGAACCGGCAGUACCUGUCAAGAACUUAACAACAGCAGUCUUCAGUGGAAGUUCCAGUCAUACUUACCGUGGAUUAAACUUUGAAGUGAUUUCGUUACCUAUGGAUCUUAUCAUUUGCAUCACGGUCAUGUGUUACGCAAAUAUGGAAUAAUUCUAUCAAGUUACCAUUGGACCCGGACCUGCCAAAGGGGAACCCGCUUACCUAUCUCCUAAAUCACACUAAUAAAAACAAGAUGUGUUUGUAUACUUUCGGAUUCAUUUCAUUGGCCUCCGGAUGAUGCAGCCCAAGUACUCACUUCCUAUCCUUAUGGUUCACGUCAAGUGUUUGUUUAUCAUUCAGAAGUCUAUUUUUGUGGUUCAAUGAUAUACAUUACAAUUAAAUUCAUUGUAACUUA